CCCGCUGAACUUAAGCAUAUCAAUAAGCGGAGGAAAAGAAACUAACAAGGAUUCCCCUAGUAACUGCGAGUGAAGCGGCAACAGCUCAAAUUUGAAAUCUGGCCCCUUGGGGUCCGAGUUGUAAUUUGUAGAGGAUGCUUUUGAUGAGGCGCCGCCUGAGUUCCCUGGAACGGGACGCCAUAGAGGGUGAGAGCCCCGUCUGGCUGGCCGCCGAGUCUCUGUAAAGCUCCUUCGACGAGUCGAGUAGUUUGGGAAUGCUGCUCAAAAUGGGAGGUAUAUGUCUUCUAAAGCUAAAUACCGGCCAGAGACCGAUAGCGCACAAGUAGAGUGAUCGAAAGAUGAAAAGCACUUUGAAAAGAGGGUUAAAUAGUACGUGAAAUUGUUGAAAGGGAAGCACUUGUGACCAGACUUGGGCUUGGCGAAUCAUCCGGCGUUCUCGCCGGUGCACUUUGCCUCGUCCAGGCCAGCAUCAGUUCGUCGCGGGGGACAAAGGCUUCGGGAACGUGGCUCCUCCGGGAGUGUUAUAGCCCGCUGCGUAAUACCCUGCGGUGGACUGAGGUUCGCGCAUCUGCAAGGAUGCUGGCGUAAUGGUCAUCAGUGACCCGUCUUGAAACACGG
This 618-nucleotide ribosomal RNA is filed under the name uncultured fungus. Its description in RNAcentral is "eukaryotic LSU rRNA". It matches the Rfam family "Eukaryotic large subunit ribosomal RNA", at positions 24 to 664 of the family's 3401-position model. Lineage: Eukaryota; Fungi. The record is from RNAcentral.